RNAcentral lists this ribosomal RNA (445 nucleotides) under uncultured bacterium. RNAcentral's name for it is "bacterial SSU rRNA". It matches the Rfam family "Bacterial small subunit ribosomal RNA", at positions 354 to 796 of the family's 1533-position model. The record is from RNAcentral.
GUGAGGAAUAUUGGACAAUGGGUGAGAGCCUGAUCCAGCCAUCCCGCGUGCAGGAAGACGGCCCUAUGGGUUGUAAACUGCUUUUCUACGAGAAUAAACCACCUUACGUGUAGGGUGUUGAAGGUACCGUAGGAAUAAGCACCGGCUAACUCCGUGCCAGCAGCCGCGGUAAUACGGAGGGUGCAAGCGUUAUCCGGAUUUAUUGGGUUUAAAGGGUCCGCAGGCGGACUUGUAAGUCAGAGGUGAAAGCCGGCAGCUCAACUGUCGAACUGCCUUUGAUACUGCAAGUCUUGAGUGAGGUUGAAGUAGCUAGAAUGAGUAGUGUAGCGGUGAAAUGCUUAGAUAUUACUCAGAAUACCGAUUGCGAAGGCAGGUUACUAAGUCUUAACUGACGCUGAGGGACGAAAGCGUGGGGAGCGAACAGGAUUAGAAACCCCGGUAGUCC